Molecule: long non-coding RNA, 205 nt
Filed under: Homo sapiens (human)
Lineage: Eukaryota; Metazoa; Chordata; Mammalia; Primates; Hominidae
Description: non-protein coding LINC-PINT:63
Source: RNAcentral
CAUUUUAUUAAUGCUUUUACGAGUUAGAAGAGUUGGGAUAAUUUGCCAUCUGGAGUUUCUCUGCCUUGCUGAUCUGAGCUCAGACCUGCCAAUUUACCAGAGAUAAUUGAUAACACCCUGUAACAGCUGAGAGGAAAAUGGAAGAAACGGAGAUACUUUUAGUGAAGCAGAAUAAACCACUGAACAGCGUUGGCUGAAAAACAUA